GGGGGGAUGAGGAUGGAAGGGUGGACUGAAAUCACAACGAAGCUUUGGAUUAUUCCUAUCAUAGGUUUCAUAAACGCUCAGCUCUUCCUGAUCCUCCGUGGCUAGAGAAAGUCAUACUGUAUGCUUUAUGUGCAUGAGAGACAUUUAUGUAUUUACAGUGCACACGCUUCAAUGGCUACUCCUGUGUUGAGGACAUCUGGCUCCAAGGUUGACAUAUUUUCUCCUCUACCUCUCUGUCUCUAACAACAACCUUAUCAUCCUCCAUUACACACCUGGAUUGUAUUACAUAUUAGUUCUCUUAACAGAGAUAGGUGUAAAACAAGGAUGAUGGGGAUGGGUCUGUGACGGAUAUCAUCGUGAGAAAGAGAGAAAUAGAGGGAGCGAGAGAAUGUGAGAGAGAAAGGGGGGGAGAGGGGGGAUAGAGAGAGACAGGGGAUAGAGAGAGACCGGGGUAGAGAGAGACAGGGGAUAGAGAGAGACCGGGGUAGAGAGAGACAGAGUGUAGAGAGAGACAGGGGCAGAGAGAGACAGCCAGGGAGAGAGAGAGACAGACAGGGACAGAGAGAGACAGACAGGGACAGAGAGAGACAGACAGGGAUAGAGAGAGACAGGGGUAGAGAGAGACAGGGGAUAGAGAGAGACGGGGAUAGAGAGAGAUAGGGGAUAGAGAGAGACAUAGGUAGAGAGAUACAGGGGUAGAGAGAGACAGGGGGUAGAGAGAGAUAGGGGAUAGAGAGAGACAUAGGUAGAGAGAUACAGGGACAGAGAGAGACGGGGAUAGAGAGAGACAGGGGGUAGAGAGAGACAGGGGAUAAAGAGAGACAGGGUAGAGAGAGACAGGGGAUAGAGAGAGACAAGGGUAGAGAGAUACAGGGGAUAGAGAGAGACGGGGAUAGAGAGAUACAGGGGGUAGAGAGAUACAGGGGUAGAGAGAGACAGGGGGUAGAGAGAGACAGGGGGUAGAGAGAGACAGGGGAUAGAGAGAGAUAGGGGAUAGAGAGAGACAUAGGUAGAGAGAUACAGGGGGUAGAGAGAGACAGGGGUAGAGAGAGACAGGGAGUAGAGAGAGACAGGGGAUAAAGAGAGACAGGAGGUAGAGAGAGACAGGGGAUAGAGACAGACAGGGGUAGAGAGAGACAGGGGUAGAGAGAGACAGGGAUAUAGAGAGACAGAGGUAGAGAGAGACAGAGGUAGAGAGAGACAGAGGUAGAGAGAGACAGAGGUAGAGAGAGACAGGGGUAGAGAGAGACAGGGGGUAGAGAGAGGGGAUAGAGAGACAGGGAAUAGAGAGAGACAGGGGAUAGAGAGAGACGGGUAGAGAGAGACAGGGGAUAGAGAGAGACGGGGGUAGAGAGAGACAGGGAAUAGAGAGAGAGACGGGGUAGAGAGAGACAGGGGGUAGAGAGAGACAGGGGUAGAGAGAGACAGGGGUAGAGAGAGACAGGGGUAGAGAGAGACAGGGGUAGAGAGAGACAGGGAGCAGUUAUCCUCUCUAUUUCCUCUGCACCAGCUUUGCGGUUUCUGUGUGGAACAGAUGUUCACAACUUGAUACAGUGCACCAUGCCCCUCUCCUUGCUAUCUUCAGUCCCAGCACUACCAACUGUCUGCACACACACAUUCUCCCUCUCUCUCUCUUGCAUGCCAAUGUGGACACAAUUGCUUGCCUGAAUACAUGUGGAUGUAUUCAGGUGAAAACAGCGUAAAUUGAGAACUUUCUACUGCUGCCCAAUUGACUUUCUCUCCUGUUCCUGCAUCCUGCUCUUUAGUAAACAUUUCACUUUAACGAGGUGCUAU
RNAcentral lists this long non-coding RNA (1794 nucleotides) under Salmo salar (Atlantic salmon). Its description in RNAcentral is "lncRNA (ENSSSAG00000090638.1, ENSSSAG00000101855.1)". The record is from RNAcentral. Lineage: Eukaryota; Metazoa; Chordata; Actinopteri; Salmoniformes; Salmonidae.